CUCAAUCACUCAGCCGCUUGAGACCGACACGAUGGAUUUACAAAAUCUUCUUGUUGCAAGGUAAUGUCAAUACUCGUACAUACGCGUACACACACACUUCACAAAAAGUUAAAUCAUGCGUGAAGAAUUAAAGGACCUUUAAUCUCAUAGAUUUCCGAUUUAAUUUUCAAAGUGUUGUGUAUUUUAAAGGAAAUGGCCGAUACAUGGUAAGGUCAAGUCAUGUUUUCCAAACUGUCAAAAAAAUAUUUACACUAUUUAGAUUUUUUUAAAUAAUUUUACUGGUGCAUAACAUACAUGUGUGUAUUUUGUAGGUUGUGACAACAUAAUGGGAUAGCAUUCGUUUCAAUUCCAGUAAAACAAAAAUGGCCCAAAACUCUGCACACUAUGAGCAGGACAAGGAUGCAGUUGAACUGGACAUCGAAUACCAAGCUAAAAAUAGAAUCACGGGGACUUCCCUUCCAAUUAAAAGGGGUUCUUGGCCAAUUCUCUUUGAACGUGCAUCUGGAAGUUGGUGGAAUCCUAAAUUUGAUUCUAAUGAUUUAGAAAUAGAACAGUGGAAAAGUUACCUUCCACAGACACGGAAACGAUUUCAGUAUGCGCUCUUCUAUAUUAUCAUAGCGUGUAUCGCUUGGUGCGUAUUCUUUGGAACUACAAGAAGUGAUAAGUGGACAUAUUUUUUAGGCGGAACUUUAGCUCUGUUGGGAUUUGUAGCACUCAUCCUUUGGUUUUCGUACACAACCUUCUAUGAAAGAUUUUGUUUAUAUACUUCAAUAAUCCUAACUGUUGUGUUGUGUGCAGCAAUACUUGUGCAGUUUAUAUAUGCACAAUCAGACUUGUCAACAAUGGGUAGUUUUACUGCAUCGAUAGAAGUGUUAUUAAUAAUGUAUGCAGUAUUGCCCAUGCCACUAUUUGUUGCCAUUGGAAUAGGUGUUACACAUUCAAUAUUAUAUGAAGUUCUCGUGGUGCUUCAGAAUAAAGACAUGCAGUCUGUAACAUUUAUUAUUGGCAAAGUUUUGCUACAUUUUUGUAUUCAUAUCAUGGGCAUUCACAUAUUUGUCAUGUCUCAAGUUACACGUCGUAGUACUUUUUGGAAAAUAGGUCAGUCUGUAAUGGCGAAACGAGAUUUACAAAUUGAAAAACAGAUCAAAGAAAAAAUGAUCCACUCUCUCAUGCCUCCGAAAGUGGCAUUAGAAGUGAUGGAUUCACAGCGUAGUAACCCUGAUGAAGAAGUUGAUGAUGGGAGAGAGACAAAACAUAAGCAUCAUGAGAAGGGAGAGAUCAUUUUCAGACCAUUUAAUAUGAGUUCGAUGGAAAAUGUUAGCAUUUUGUUUGCUGAUAUUGUUGGUUUUACAAAAAUGAGUUCAAAUAAAACAGCUGAACAUUUGGUAGGUCUCCUGAACGAUCUCUUUGGAAGAUUUGAUGCCUUGUGCACUGCGUGUGGCUGUGAAAAAAUUAGUACAUUAGGUGAUUGUUACUAUUGUGUGUCCGGCUGUCCAGAACCAAAAGCAGAUCAUGCUCAGUGCUGUGUAGAGAUGGGGCUUGGCAUGAUCAAAGCUAUAAAGCAAUUUGAUAAGGAUAAUAAUGAAUCAGUCGACAUGAGAGUUGGUGUUCAUACUGGUACUGUUCUCUGUGGUAUAGUUGGCACAAGGAGGUUUAAGUUUGACGUUUGGUCUAAUGAUGUCACUCUUGCUAAUACCAUGGAAUCUUCAGGAGUUCCUGGCAAAAUUCACAUUUCUGAUGCAUCAUACGAUUUUUUGAAAGAUGAAUAUGAAGUUGAAGAUGGACCUGAUGUUCAAGGUAA
This 1801-nucleotide long non-coding RNA is filed under the name Mytilus galloprovincialis (Mediterranean mussel). The record is from RNAcentral. Lineage: Eukaryota; Metazoa; Mollusca; Bivalvia; Mytilida; Mytilidae.